CUGAGUGUAACGCUCAGUUGGAAGAGCAUUGGGCUAGUAUUCCAAAGGUCGUAGGUUCGAUUCCCACCAUGGUCAGG
This 77-nucleotide transfer RNA is filed under the name Paramuricea clavata. RNAcentral's name for it is "tRNA-Thr". It matches the Rfam family "tRNA". From Rfam's summary of the family: Transfer RNA (tRNA) molecules are approximately 80 nucleotides in length. Their secondary structure includes four short double-helical elements and three loops (D, anti-codon, and T loops). The record is from RNAcentral. Lineage: Eukaryota; Metazoa; Cnidaria; Anthozoa; Malacalcyonacea; Plexauridae.